This 68-nucleotide transfer RNA is filed under the name Rhoptropus boultoni (Boultons Namib day gecko). RNAcentral describes it as "tRNA-Tyr". Lineage: Eukaryota; Metazoa; Chordata; Lepidosauria; Squamata; Gekkonidae. The record is from RNAcentral.
CUGCUGGUAGCAAGGGUUGUCCCCUGUUAUCGAGGUUACAGCUCGGCGCCCUGCUCGGCCAUAAUACC